RNAcentral lists this transfer RNA (69 nucleotides) under Utra nitida. RNAcentral describes it as "tRNA-Gln". Lineage: Eukaryota; Metazoa; Arthropoda; Insecta; Coleoptera; Cerambycidae. The record is from RNAcentral.
UAUGCUUUAAUAUAUGAUGUAUAUAGAUUUUUGGUAUCUGAGGAAGUAGUUUAACUCUACUAGGCAUAA